Molecule: ribosomal RNA, 454 nt
Filed under: uncultured bacterium
Lineage: Bacteria
Description: bacterial SSU rRNA
Rfam family: Bacterial small subunit ribosomal RNA
Source: RNAcentral
AGAGUUUGAUCAUGGCUCAGAACAACGCUGGCGGCAUGCCUAACACAUGCAAAGUCGAACGGAGACCUUCGGGUCUAGUGGCGCACGGGUGCGUAACGCGUGGGAAUCUGCCCUUGGGUUCGGAAUAACAGUUAGAAAUGACUGCUAAUACCGGAUAAUGUCUUCGGACCAAAGAUUUAUCGCCCAGGGAUGAGCCCGCGUAGGAUUAGCUAGUUGGUGAGGUAAAGGCUCACCAAGGCGACGAUCCUUAGCUGGUCUGAGAGGAUGAUCAGCCACACUGGGACUGAGACACGGCCCAGACUCCUACGGGAGGCAGCAGUGGGGAAUAUUGGACAAUGGGCGAAAGCCUGAUCCAGCAAUGCCGCGUGAGUGAUGAAGGCCUUAGGGUUGUAAAGCUCUUUUACCCGGGAUGAUAAUGACAGUACCCGCAGAAUAAGCCCCGGCUAACUUCGUG